UCUCCGUAGGUGAACCUGCGGAGGGAUCAUUACUGAGUGAGGGCUUCGGUCCGACCUCCAACCCUUUGUGAACUACAACUCUGUUGCUUCGGGGGCGACCCCGCCGUUUCGGCGGUGCGGCGCCCCCGGAGGCCAUUAAACACUGCAUCAUUGCGUCGGAGUUAAAGUAAAUUAAACAAAACUUUCAACAACGGAUCUCUUGGUUCCAGCAUCGAUGAAGAACGCAGC
This 228-nucleotide unclassified non-coding RNA is filed under the name uncultured fungus. Its description in RNAcentral is "sequence contains ITS1, 5.8S rRNA gene". The stretch from base 180 to 228 matches the Rfam family "5.8S ribosomal RNA", at positions 1 to 49 of the family's 154-position model. Lineage: Eukaryota; Fungi. The record is from RNAcentral.